RNAcentral lists this ribosomal RNA (412 nucleotides) under uncultured bacterium. RNAcentral describes it as "bacterial SSU rRNA". It matches the Rfam family "Bacterial small subunit ribosomal RNA", at positions 64 to 507 of the family's 1533-position model. The record is from RNAcentral.
GAACGAGAAAGUGGAGCAAUCCAUGAGUACAGUGGCGUACGGGUGAGUAACACGUGACUAACCUACCCUCGAGUGGGGAAUAACUUCGGGAAACCGAGGCUAAUACCGCAUAACAUCUACGGAUCAAAUGCGUAAGCAGCUUGAGGAGGGGGUCGCGGCUGAUUAGCUAGUUGGCGGGGUAACGGCCCACCAAGGCAAUGAUCAGUAGCCGGCCUGAGAGGGCGCACGGCCACACUGGAUGAGAAACACGGUCCAGACUCCUACGGGAGCACAUGGGAUUNNAUUUUGCGCAAUGGGGGAAACCCUGACGCAGCAACGCCGCGUGGAGGAUGAAGCCCCUUGGGGUGUAAACCUCUUUCGAACUCGGACGAUAAUGACGGUACGAGUGGAAGAANGCACGGCUAACUCUGUG